AGUUGGGUGGUGCAGUGGUUAGCAUUGCCCCCUCACAGCAAGAAGGUCUUCGGUUCAAAUCCGACCUGGCCCA
Non-coding RNA from Gymnothorax javanicus (giant moray), 73 nucleotides. The record is from the annotation of a GenBank genome assembly. Lineage: Eukaryota; Metazoa; Chordata; Actinopteri; Anguilliformes; Muraenidae.